This 534-nucleotide ribosomal RNA is filed under the name uncultured bacterium. RNAcentral describes it as "bacterial SSU rRNA". It matches the Rfam family "Bacterial small subunit ribosomal RNA", at positions 776 to 1296 of the family's 1533-position model. The record is from RNAcentral.
CAAUAGAUACCCGGGUAGUCUUGGCUGUAAACGGUGCGCAUUUGCUGUAAACGGAAUCGACCCCGUUUGUGGCGAAGCUAACGCGAAUAAAUGCGCCGCCUGGGAAGUACGGUCGCAAGAUUAAAACUCAAAGAAAUUGACGGGGGCCUGCACAAGCGGUGGAGUAUGUGGCUUAAUUCGAUGCAACGCGAAGAACCUUACCUGGCCUUGACAUGCAAGUGGUAGAACCAUGAAAGUGGGACGAUCCCGCAAGGGAAGCUUGCACAGGUGCUGCAUGGCUAUCGUCAGCUCGUGUCGUGAGAUGUUGGGUUAAGUCCCGCAACGAGCGCAACCCUUGUGUCCUGUUGCCACUCAAACGAGAGUUUGAAGCACUCUGGACAGACCGCCUCGCUUAAACGAGGAGGAAGGUGGGGAUGACGUCAAGUCAGUAUGGCCCGUUACGGCCAGGGCUGCACACGUACUACAAUGCGCGGCACAAAGGGAAGCUAGACCGUCAGGUGGAGCAAAAUCCCAAAAAACCCGCGCCCAGUUCAG